UAUGAAUCAUUACUCCUUACCCAGGCAGUAAUGUUCCCGAAGUUUUCUCUUCGUUCUAUGUUUCAUGGUAGUUUAACCUUAUUAACUCUUCUGCAGGCUUUUUGUACACUUAAGAAAACUCUUUAACUCUUGUUGUUUACUUUUUUUCUGGAGCUGGAGGAGGGAAUGAUAUUCAGUGGUGUUUUUCUCAGGUGAAAGGAGCAGUAGAUGAUGAUGUAGCAGAAGCAGAUAUAAUUUCUACAGUAGAAUUUAAUCAUUCUGGAGAAUUACUAGCAACAGGAGAUAAAGGUGGUAGAGUUGUCAUCUUUCAACAGGAGCAGGAGAUGGUCUCACUGUGUUGCUGAUCUUGAACUCCUGACCUCAAGCAAUCCUCUGUCUUGGCCUCCCAAAGUGUUGGAUUACAGAACAAAAUCCAGUCUCAUAGCAGAGGAGAAUAUAAUGUUUACAGCACCUUCCAGAGCCAUGAACCAGAGUUUGACUACUUGAAAAGUUUAGAAAUAGAAGAAAAGAUCAACAAAAUUAGGUGGUUACCCCAGAAAAAUGCUGCUCAGUUUUUAUUGUCUACCAAUGGUAA
RNAcentral lists this small RNA (574 nucleotides) under Pan troglodytes (chimpanzee). Its description in RNAcentral is "processed transcript". The record is from RNAcentral. Lineage: Eukaryota; Metazoa; Chordata; Mammalia; Primates; Hominidae.